RNAcentral lists this non-coding RNA (63 nucleotides) under Mantoniella antarctica. The record is from RNAcentral. Lineage: Eukaryota; Viridiplantae; Chlorophyta; Mamiellophyceae; Mamiellales; Mamiellaceae.
ACAUCCGGAAGGGAAGCUACCCUGCCGCGCACGUGGCCCUGCAGGAGGCGACUAAGCAGGCGC